Molecule: long non-coding RNA, 832 nt
Organism: Brassica oleracea var. oleracea
Lineage: Eukaryota; Viridiplantae; Streptophyta; Magnoliopsida; Brassicales; Brassicaceae
Exons: 3
Source: RefSeq, a predicted model, not a curated record
CUGCUGUGGACAGACGCUGUGCCUCCAGCUAUUUACUCUAUUAAUCGAAGCAUUUACUUCAUUAAUAUGUUUGACGAAGUCAGCCGUCAAGCUCUUCUCUUCCAACUCGAUACCGUUCCACUAUCCCUUCCAUUGCUUCUGUUGAGAAACGUUUACAGUAAUGAAAUUCAGCCAACGAUGCCCACUACAUCCUUUUUGGUGCCUCUUAACUCCUUAUCAAACUCGCUCAUCAUGUAUAUAUUUAGAAGGGUUUCAGAGGCCCGAAAUGAUAAGAAAGGUCGUGCGCCAAUGGGUGUCUGAUAUGCUUUUGUUUGAUGCUGUUGAUUGAUGGGAAGUCAACGCUAAUCCAAAACGUCGAACAAUGUUCCGGUUUAACUCCUUCAAACGACGCUGAGAGAAGGCUCUCUCUAUGAGCUCAGUGUUUUUGAUGUGACAAGAAGCAGCACCAACUUCAGGUUCCGUGGCAGUCCUUUUGCUAUAAGAUUCAACGAACAAACCAUGUAUGUCCAGAUUGCUGAAUACAUGCCUAAAUGUUCCACUUCCAUAUGUCUACUUCAGCAAAUUACAUUCUUAUUGCAGCGUAUCUUGCUUUAACAAACCCAAUAUCGCUAGAUGCCUGAAUGUUUAACUCCUCAGGGGGCCUGGAUAAUCGUAAAAGCAAGCGGAAGCCUCUGAGAAAUCGAUAGAAAAGAAGGUAAUUGCAGAAGCAUGCAAGAAGGGCCUGCAAGCUUUCCACUGGAGAGACUAUUGGCAGAUUCCAGUGCUCGCGUUGUGUCUUGAGGAGAUUAAUAUUCAUUUGGCAAAGAGGAAGAAGAAGAAAAGAAGCUAUGGG